Molecule: long non-coding RNA, 34337 nt
Filed under: Sorghum bicolor (sorghum)
Lineage: Eukaryota; Viridiplantae; Streptophyta; Magnoliopsida; Poales; Poaceae
Description: long non-coding RNA (SBIC_LNC014483)
Source: RNAcentral
UAUAUAUCUUUUGCUUAGUGUGUUUAAUAAAUAAAUAAAGUGGCUAUGCUAAACUGAAUCAAAAUAAUAAAACUCUAGCAUGGAUAUGAUGAAUAGUUGCUCUGCCUAAUUUUUAAAAUUUGAAGUUCUCUCUCAAGUUUAGAUAUAACUGUUAUAAUUUAAAGCUUGCUCUAAACCUAAAUUUGUGAGAUGAAAACUUGAUCUGAAGUCUAAGUUGUUAACGGAUAUGAUAUGGGAAGGUUGAGCUGCUAUUUAUCUAUUCCUAGAGAUGCUAGAAUUCUAGAAAAUUUUAUCUUUUAAAAUUUUUAAAAUAUCAUAUGAUGAGUUCCUGUAUGAUGAGAGUUUAAAUUCCUACCACAGCCAUAUAUACAUGCUUGCUAGACUUUGAGCCACACAUUUACUAUUUGCUGCUUAUGAGCAUUGAGUGUGGUCAAGCUGUGUAGACCCGUAGGAGCUUGUCAUGUGGUUAAAUCAAGAUUCACUUGCACGUUCACUCCGGAAGUACCAUCCACAUAUAUCCACCCAUUUCCAUCUCCAGAACCACCCAAAAAUAUUCUACUCCUAAUCCGAGAGAGAAUGGCCAAAAAUAUUUCUGUUUUUCCCUUGUGAAAUAAAUGCUCAAGUUAUCUUUACUACCACUUGCUAUAUUAUCUCAAGAGAUGAGUGCUCUAAAAAAAAUAAAAAAAAUAAGAAUAAGAUACGAGGAAAUAAAAAGGAGCAAGUGCACGGAACCUCGAAAGAAAAGAAAAAAAAGUGAGACGAGAGGUAAAAAUGGACAAGUGUCCGACAGUAGAAUUAGUGGUACAAGAUACCCACCUGAGAGAAAAAGAAAAAUAAAGAGCAUCUCAUUCUCAUCACAAAGUUACAAAAAGCAAGGAAGGUAUGUAUCCCCUCAAAAGAGCAAAAGUAGAAUUAGGCUUUCGCCAUUGUUAUCAUCACCAUACACCAUUCAUUCGCCACACAUGCACAUCUUGAUUCGAUUUAUUAACUUGUUCUUCUGGAUCCAUGGUUUGACUAUGCAAUAAAUGUCUUGUGAGUAUGUAUAUUUUAUCUCCCACCUAUGAGCUCCACAUAUUAAAGCCUUAUUAGAGUAGGGUGAGAGAGAAGGCAAUGUCACUAUGCCUUAUACCACAAAUACUACAUAUAAUUUGAGAGAAGGCAUAUACCAUCACUGCCUUGGUGAGGAUCCAGAAAUACCGCAAAAGAGUGAUCAGAGAGAGUCAUACAAGGAAUCUCUGAGUUUUAUUUGAAAAUCUGCAAAAACUCCAGAGCUAUAGCUGAUCAAGAAUAAGAGACAUGGCACUUGACUAGACUGUUCUAUCUUUUAACCACUCAAGACAGGAGUGACGGUUACAAGUCCCAUGGUGAAAGGUAAAGUAAGUAAGUUUUAAGUCUUGAAAGUUUACUAUAACUCUGAGAUAAGAUCUUAUUUAAAACCAUGUGUACCGUCAAUUUUUAAAGGUAUUGCAACAACUUCUAAUCCAUCGCUAAGAUUAUCCUUGCUCAGGGACGAGCAAGAGGUAAGCUUGGGGGAGUUUGUUGACGGUCCUUAAGUAUCAAAUUUAAUUAUCAAAUAAACAAAGAAAAGGAUCCAAAUGAAAUCAACAUCCAGACUUAGGGUUUUAUCUGACAGAAUUCCACGAGUUUUGGUGUUUGUCUAUUUCUGUAGGGGUUAUCAGGAAAUACGGAAGAAAGGCCCACACGUCGGGAUUACAUAGAGAUAUUAACGUGCCGCGCAAUUAUCUUACAUCUAGAAGACUCCAGAAGCCACGGGAAGGAAGCGGAGGCCGAAGGGGGCCAGGCACUGGGCGCCCGCCCCCUGUUGGAACCCAAUUAGGACUCUCUUUCGGGGAAGAUCUCCACCGACCUAAAUGAUCAAGGAUAACCGUUCAAUCAAUGUCGGUUUGAUCCAACGGCCCAUAUUCACUUGAAGGGACUAUAAAACCAGGCCCCCUGGCCCCUGGAGGAGAGAGCCUCUCAACCCUAAUUCAUUACUCCUCAAGGGAGAAGAAGCCCCUGAUCAAGAUUAGAGCCACCACAUCAAUUAGAUAUCUAGAUUAGCAUAGCUACAUAGGAUUAGAACUAGAAGGAGUCAAUCUUCGAUUGGUUUCCGGAUCUGUCAAGAGGAUUCUUGGUAAUUCUCUAAUUGUGCUUCUAAUUGUUUUUCUAAUUAUCUUUGUUCUUCAAUAUUAUGAAUAUGACUUUGUUCUACUUCAAUAUAUUGCUUAUGACUUUGCUCUACUUUCUUAUAUUCAAGAUUAUAUUGUUCUUAGUUUAUCAUAGUUAUGUACUUGGCUUAGUUAGAUUGGAUCUAUAUACAUGUUUAGGAUCGUAUAGCGUUUAUCCAUCGGAUCCAUGGGUAAAUGAUAGAUAUUGUGUAGGCGUGGUGCUUAUACCAUAUUUUUCUGCGAUUGUACCCAAUAUGCCAGAUCGUGGGGUAGUUCGUGAUAGUGACAGCUUCAUUGAUUCUUAUAUAGUCCCCUCUCGUGUAUUGGGCUGGCAGAGCAACAUUAUUACAGGGGAGUGAUUGCUAUGUUUCUCAUUUACCUUGCUAAUAUCACUAUGCAUGGGCGUAGUCUUGUCUCGCAAUGAUUGCUAAGUAUGCUUGCACUAACUAUGAUAAUGCUAGACUAUAUAGUUGAGAAUAACUUAGGAAAUAUUCUUGUAGUUUGUUCUAAUUCCAUGCUAAUGACUUUCUAGAGUAUCUAAUUGAGGUGCUUAUCAUAUUUAUUAUGUGGCUAAGUUAUGCUGAUUAGAUUAAUUAUCUUUGUCACUAUUCAUUACUUCAUAUAUCUUUUAUGUGACACUUAUCCCUGUAUGAAAGAAUUAGAUACAAUGUUCUCAAUUAUACAUGCAAUGAUAGAUACUCAAUCUCAUAUUCUAUUCUAUUAUUAGUAUUGAUGAUUGCUAAUCCCUUCCCAGUGGUAAAAAUAUAAAUAACGAUACCUGAAAUACUUCCCGAUUAAAAUGCUACAUCGGUAUUAAUCUGUGCGCUUGCAGAUCCCAUUCGUUAUUUAUUUAGAAGAGCAAUUGCAUAUUUCAAUACCGCGUCUCUCAUGUCAUGCUGGGGAUGAUAACUUAGCUUAAGUGGUAUGAGGGAUAGGUUUGGCAUUUUUGGCACCAUUAAUAGAAUUAGAAAACUAAGUCUACUUUUGGUAAUGAUGUUAAGAAUACCCAACAAAGCGGAACAUGGACGACUCCUAGAACAGCAACAAAAGUGGAACCAGGACCACGCCACUGCAGUACAAGAACUGAGACAAGACACCAUGACAAUGAACGACAACAUCACCACCAUGAUGCGAUUCUGGAACAUUGGGUAAGACCGACAACCACAUCCAGCUUGGGGGAGUUCCUCCCUAUUUUAUCAAGUAAGUUUUUAUUUGCCCUUCUUAUUUAUUCUUUUAUGUUUUAAUGUUUUAUUUUAAAGAGAAAAACUUAGAAAACCUAAUAAAUAUUUUCUUGCUUUAAUUUACUGCAUUCUAUAAACAUGAAAACAAAAUAAAAAGAGUGUGUAGAUAAGUGUGCUUAUUUAUCUGCCAAGUGUUAAUCUCUAGAAAAAUAAAAAGACCAAAAAGAUGCUUGAUGGAAAUGACGAACAGAUGCUCUGUUUACUUACUUUCGAGUACCUAGCUUUUAUAUUAGAGUCUUCUAGAAAUUACUAAAAACUAAAAUUUAAUAUCUAUGGGAAGCAUGAACCUAAAACUAUAGUCUAGGUAAGAGAAGGACAUGAUAUAAAGUUUGAGCUGUUGUUUAUCUUGUUCCUACUGCACUGAGUUUUGGAGAUUUAUUUUGAAAACUUGCAAAUGACAUGAUGAGUUCCUAGCAUGACAAAAUUCCUACCACAGCCAUACUUGCAAUAACAUCUUUUACUUAUAUUCACAUUAAGUUUGAUCGAGCUGUGUAGACCCUUAGGACUUUUCAUGUGGUUAAAUUAAGAUAUUCACUGGCACACAUCUACUACACCAUCCGCCACCAUUCAUUAAAAUCUGUUAAAAAUAUUAUCACUCACUAUCCCAAGUGUUGUUAUUCUCUCUCUCCAAAAAAGAUUCAAUGCAGAAGAGACAUGGGUUAUGCAAAAAUAUACAAGGAAAUAAAAAGGGGCAAGUGCCCGGAACCUCGAAAAACAAAGAAAGAGAGUGAGACGAGAGGUAAAAAUGGACAAGUGUUCGGAGUAGAAUUAGGGGUAGAAAGAAGCCCAUCUAAGCGGAAAAAAUGGACAAGUGUCUGACAGUAGAAUUAGGGGUAUUUACUACCCAUCUAAAAACAAGAAGAGAAAAAGAGAGAUAGCCCAUGUUCUCCGAAGGCAAAGAUCAAGAGAGGAGGAGAGAUAGCAAUAUGAGGAGCAAUGAGAAGUAAGUUUUAUCAUCACUUAUACAUUUAUACCAUCACUAUCAUUUACUCCACCACACAUGCACAUCUUGAUUUAAUUAUAUGUUGAGUUCCUUUGGAUCCAUGGCUCGUUUAGACAACAUAUGUAUGAGCUAUUUUUCACACCUAUGAGCUCCACUUAAAUAUUCCAUUAGCUAUAGGUAGGUGACAUCUUUGUAAGGAUCCACAAAUACCACAUAUAGAGAGACUUGAGAGAAUCAUACCUGGGAACUCUGAGCCUUAUUUUUGAAAAUCUAUGCAAAACUCCGAAGAAAGGUGAAGUAUAGACAGGAGGAAUAGUGCUUGACUUAUUUAUUUUGUAUUUCAAUUACUUAAGACUUAAGUGCAGGUAUUAAGCCUCAUGACACUUCACUCUAAUCUGGAAGAAUUUUUAUGAAAGCAUGUGUGCCUGACAGGAAAGAAAACAUCAAAGCAACUCCUGAUCCAUCUGAGUUUAGCUGUUUGCUCAGGGACGAGCAAGGGGUAAGCUUGGAGGAGUUUGUUGACGGUCCUUAAGUAUCAAAUUUAAUUAUCAAAUAAACAAAGAAAGGAUCCAAAUGCAACCAACACCCAGACUUAGGGUUUUAUCUGACAGAAUUCCAUGAGUUUUGGUGUUUGUCUAUUUCUACAGGGGGUUAUCAGGAAAUAUGGAGAGAAGGCCCACAUGUCAUGUUUACAACGAGAUAAUUACGUGCCGUGCAAUUUUACUUAAUCUAGAAGAGUCCAGAAGCCAUGGGAACCAAUGGGAGACCGGACGGGCUCGGGGGCAGGGCGCCCGCCCUCCCCCCUUGGGCGCCUGUUCUGGCCUUGGGGCCAAUCACAACCAAUCUCACGGAUUAUGCUCCACCGACCUAAAGGAUCAAGGAAAACCGUGCGAUCAAUGUCGGUUUGAUCCGACGGCCCAAAUUCACUUGAAAGGACUAUAUAAGCAAGGCCUCUCCACCCCAGGAGGAGAGAGGAAAAUCAUUAUCAGAGGAAGCCAUCAAAGUUAGGGUUUUAGAUCUUCUCUCCCACAGAGAAUUAGAAUUAGUUACUCCCUAAUCCUUCAAGUUUAGAGGAUUGAUUAGAUAGAAUUAGAGAAGUAGAGCCUAGCGCUCUAGAUUCGGAUCUUCGUUAAUAAAUAUUGGUAUUAUUUCAUAUCUUUCUCUACUACUUUAUUCUAAUUGCAUUAUAUCUCUAUUUAUUAUGCUCUUAGUUUGCUCUAGUUCUAUAUUUGAUAUAGUUAUGAUUGAUAAUGAGUUUUUGUAUAAAUUUGCAAAGCGCUUAGCUCUUAACACGUGGGAGUUAAGUGGUAGAUCACAUGUAGGCGUGGUGCUUAGAUGUUAUUUACCUGCAAAUGUAUCCUAUUAGCCGGGCCAUGUGGUAGUUCGCGAUAGUGACAACUUCAUUGAUUCUUAUAUAGUCCACCCUCCGUUGAUAGGACAGGCAGAAUUUGUAUCGCGGAGUAAGUCUUGCGAUGCUCUAAUUUACUUUAGCAAUGUUCCUUAUACAUGAAUGGACAGUCUUUUAUGCUAUAUAUGAUCUUGUAGAUAACAAGAGUAGAUUUUGACUUAGUAGAUAGUAGAUAACUUAGAAUCCAUUCUCUAGCUAAUCAAGCGUCACCUUACAUAUAUGAGGAGUAGUCUAAUUUCUAAUCGCUGUGUUAUUUACCCAUGAGCUUAGAUUUCAUUAUCAUUAUUAUUAUGGCUUACCCCCUACCAAAAUAAGUGACUGUGUGACGAGUUCCUCAUUAGUAAUUAUGUUCUUGCAAGUUUAUCUCUAGUCUAUGCCUUGAUAGAUUUUAUUUAUCUCCACCGUUCUCUUAAGCAAAAAUAUAAAUAACGAUAUCCGGAAUACUUUUCCUCGUGAAAUGCUACAAUGAGGUAUUUUAUCUGUGCACUUGCGGAUAGAAUAGAUUAUUUUAUAGAGAGCCAUUACAUUCAUAAUUACCUUUGUACACUCUGGCACCAUGCUGGAGAUGACAACCUAGUAUCCAAGUGGUGUUAGUAAGUGUCAACACCCCCCAGUCCCCACUGUGCCUCAACCUAAUGAGAACCUACCUCUACAUUGCAACAACUGAUCGAGUCAUUUCUACAGUGCUUGUAGUAGAACGAGACGAACCAGGCCACGUCUAUAAUGUCCAGCGACCAAUAUACUUCAUAAGCAAAGUUCUAAAUGAGUCCAAGACUAGGUACCCCCAGACACAGAAGUUAAUCUACGCUAUUCUAAUCACUUCCAUGAAGUUGAAGCAUUAUUUUGACGGCCAUCGCAUCAUAGUAACUACAAGUUUCCCAAUGGGGGAUAUCCUGCGCAAUAAGGACGCCAACGCUAAAACUAUAAAAUGGGCCAUGGAGCUAUGCCUCUUUUUGAUGGAUUUCCAGAGUCGUACGACUGUUAAGUCUCAAGCCCUGGCCGAUUUCAUUGCAGAAUGGACAGACCUCAACGCACCACCUGCCCUGGAUAUCUCCGACCACUGGUUAAUGUUUUUUGAUGGGUCUUUAAAUAUCAAUGGUGUCGGCGCAGGGAUCCUUUUCGUUUCACCAAACAAGGACAAACUACGUUAAGUCCAUAGAAUCCUUUUCCCCGCGUCUAACAACGUGGCCGAGUAUGAAGCGUGCUUACACGGCAUACAACUGGCCGUGUAAUUAGGAGUCAAGCGCCUUUACGUCCACGGCGACUUCGCCCUGGUCAUCAACCAGCUAAAUAAGGAGUGGGACACAACUCAUGAGAAAAUGGACCUGUAUUGCAAGGAGAUCCGCAAAGAUGCAAAUGCGCUGUCUGAGACAUGACUCAUGAAUUUUUAUGGAAUCGAGUACAUACACAUAGUCCAGGACAAGAAUCAAGCAGCAGAUGCGCUAUCAAAGAUAGGAUCAUCCCGAGCCUAGAUUCUGCAAGGCGUUUUCAUCCAUGAUAUUGACAAACCAAGCGUCGGAGGCGACCUGGUCAAUAAGACAAACAGCGAGUAGCAGCAAUGACUAGCGCACACCUUUCAUCAAGUAUCUCCUAGAUGGUACCGGUUUUCAAGACAAUACAAAGAAUGAAUGCCUCAUCCGACGAUCUAGAAACUACACACUGGUCGACGGUCGACUUAUGCGCAAGAACGCCAAUACAAAAGUCUUGCUAAAGUCCAUCACCCAAGAUUAUGGCACUAAGAUGCUAGAAGACAUACAUGCUGGAUCCUGUGGCACUCAUGCAACCUCUCGAACGCUGGUCAGAAAGGCUUUCCAAGCAGGAUUUUAUUGGCCGUCUGCUAUGGCCGACGCUAAGAAGCUGGUCCAACGAUGUGAGGUUUGUUAGUUCUUCACCAAGAGGACUCACAUACCGGCUCACGAAAUCCAGACGAUACCAUCAUCAUGGCCAUUCACCUGCUAGGUGUUGGGUAUUUUAAACGCAAACAGAAAAAUCCGCAAGCGCACGGAUACCGAUGUAGCCUUCACCCGGGAGUAUUCCAGAGUAUCGAUUUUCCACAGAGAACGUGAGUGUACUAAUUAAGAUCUAAGAUCGCCUAAGGAUAACUAUAUAAUUGUUUUUCGUGGGAAGAGAGGAAGUUUCCUGAGAGUUCUCUAGUUGAUAUAAGAAUCAAGAAUUACUUCAAGAUUAUCUAUAUCGGGACAUCAGAGCACUAACCACAGAAAGAGAUGAGAAGGGGGCUAGGAAGGUCUGACUACGGUCCUACAAACACCGAUCCGAACAUGGUGGAAUACGUCGACCGUUAGGGCUGUCACUACCCUAGGGCUACCACAACAAUACGUGGGAUUGGGUGCAAUUCCAAGUAAUUGCAAGACUAAACACCACGUCUAAUCUAUUAAUUACUACUCUAGCGUUAUAAAGACUAGAGCACUUGAUGCAAGCGGGAAUCCAAUAAAUAACUUGAAUGUAAAUAAACGUAAUUAAAGAACUCAGGAAUUAUGAAUUGAAGAACCUGGAGAACGAUGAAGAACGAACCAGUUGCUGCAAAAGUACAAUGUUGAGGAAGAUCCGACAGAUCCGGCUCCUCCUUCUCCGCUCUCCUCUUCUCUCUCCCUAUUUUCUAGAUUACAACUAGAACUAACUAGAACUAGAACAAGAAGAACUAGAACUAGAACUAGAUGAACUAGAGGUAGAACUAGAAGAACUAGAGGGAUCCUCUCUACUUGGAUGAAGAAUUGAAACCCUAACUUUGAUUUUGUAGAAGAGGUAUGAUCUCCAAGGGCCAGGAGGGUCUGGUUUUAUAGUCCCUUUAAGUGAAUCUGGGCUGUCGGAUCAAACCGACAUUGAUUGAACGGUUAUUGUUGAUCCUUUAGGUCGGUGGAGCAAUAUCCCGAAAGAGAGUCCUGAUUGGACUCUGGCUGAGGGCGGGCGCCCAGGAAAGGAGGGCGGGCGCCCUGUCCCUGUGUCCUCUCGGCCUCCGCUUCGGUCCCGUGGCUUCUGGAGUCUUCUGGAUGAUAGAAAACUGCGCGGCACGUUAAUAUCUCUAUGUAAACCCGACGUGUGGGCCUUUCUUCCGUAUUUCCUGAUAACCCCCUGCAGAAAUAGACAAACACCAAAACUUGUGGAAUUCUGUCAGAUAAAACCCUAAGUCUAGGUGUUGGUUGUAUUUGGAUCCUUUUCUAUGAUUAGUUGAUGGUUAAUUGUGAGCAUUAAGGACCGUCAACACUAGGGCCUAGACAUGAUUGGGCCAUUCGAACCAGCUCCCGUGUUGACGGUCCUUAAUGCUCACAUUUAACCGUCAACUAAUCAUAGAAAAGGAUCCAAAUGCAAUCGACACGUAGACUUAGGGUUUUCUCUGACAGAAUUCCAUGAGUUCUGGUGUUUGUCUAUUUCUGCAGGGGGUUAUCAGGAAAUAUGGAGAAAAGGCCCACACAUUGGGUUUACCAAGAGAUAUUAACGUGUGCGUCAAUUUUCUAUCAUCUAGAAGACUCCAUAAGGCACGGGAACGAACGGGAGGCUGAGCAGUCCCAGGGGCAGGGCGCCCGCCCUCCCCCUUGGGCACCCACCCUGCCCUGGUGACCAAUCAGGGAAGGUCUCAAGGAUCAUGCUACACCGCCUUUGAGGAUCAAGGAAAACCGUGCGAUUAAGGUCGGUUUGAUCUGACGGCCCACGUUCAUUUGGAAGGGCUAUAUAAGUCGGCCCCCUGGCCACUGGAGAACAUACCUCUUCUACAGAAUCAAAGGUAGGGUUUCAAUUAUUCAUCCAAGUAGAGAGGAUCCCUCUAGUUCAUCUAGUUCUAGUUCUAGUUCAUCUAGUUCUAGUUCUAGUUAGUUCUAGUUGUAAUCUAGAAAAUAGGGAGAGAGAAGAGGAGAGCGGAGGAGCCGGAUCUGUCGGAUCUUCCUCAACAUUGUACUUUUGUAGCAACUGGUUCGUUCUUCAUCGUUCUCCAAGUUCUUCAAUUCAUAAUUCCUGAGUUCUUUAAUUACUUUUAUUUACAUUCAAGUUAUUUAUUGGAUUCCCACUUGCAUCAAGUGAUCUAGUCUUUGAAACGCUAGAGUAGUAAUUAAUAGAUUAGACGUGGUGUUUAGUCUCGCAAUUACCUAGAAUUAGACCCAAUCCUGCGAAUUGUUGUGGUAGCCCUAGGGUAGUGACAGCCCUAACGGUCGACGUAUUCCACCUCGUUCGGAUUGGUGUUUGUAGGACCGUAGUCACAGCUUCCUAUGGUUAGUGUUCAGAUGUCCCAAAAUACAUAAUCUUUGAAGUAAUUGUUGAAUCUUAGAUCAACUAGAGAACUGUCAGGAAACUUCCUCUCUUCUCACCAAAAAUAAUUAUAUAGUUAUCCUUAGGCAAUCUUGAAUCUUAAUUAGUACACUCACGUUCUCUGUGGAAAAUCGAUACUCUGGAAUACUCCCGGGUGAAACUUACAUCGAUAUCCGUGCGCUUGCAGAUUUUUCUGUUUGCGUUUAAAAUACCCAACAAGCUUUCUGGCACCGUUGCCGGGGAACGGUAGCUGUGCUAGUUUCGAACCAAGUCGUCCGUGUAUCCUUUUUUCUUUUCCUUUCUUUACCACACUCACCUUACCAUUUUCACCAUACCACAUGGAUUUCACUCCAAACAUUAAUGAGCAUGGAAUUUAUUUCAUAGCCACUUCGUUUACUCCAUGCACAUAUGCAACAUCUUCCCAAUCUAUUGGUCUCUCCAACAUCACCACAUUCGAGAUCUCCAACCCCCUCCUCCUUUCUAUUUAUAAAAACUUUAAAAGGCCGGUUGUCGAUGCAUAUGUCUAAAAAAUAUUGCAGAUCUCGUUGAGUUGAUCUUGAUAUAGGUCAGCGUUAGAGGGGAAACCACUUCGUCGACAUAAAUUGAUGGUUUCCCAAGGACAAGCUUAGUGUCCUAAAAUAAGCACUGAUCAGAUCAUAACAUGAGCUUUUAAUUAUUUGCAACAUUACCUUGUGUAUCGAGCAUAUAAGGAUAAUUGUAAAAAAUUCCUUUGGGCAUUCUUGUCACUAACCUUUCCAGGAUUGGAGCAAGAAGAUCGAAUGAAUGACAAGCACAAGUUAUGUCCAACCAAUCAUCAUACAACAUUGAAUUAAAUUCAUCCAAACCUGAAUUUUGCAAAAUUCAAGCUUUGGAGAGUACUUUACAUAAAAACAUCCUUUGCCAUGUUGCUAUGUUGGUUGUCCCUACCUUUGAGACAUGCUCAAUUUGUUAAAUACUAAUCACACUACUUCAUCUCCACUUGAGUAGAUCUCUAUAAAUGCUCUCAUGCUACCUUUAUUUACUUUACUAUAUGUCUAGGUUUGGAAUUGUUUUAUUUAUCUCUUAAUUAAGCAUGGUGCUUAGUUUAGGAAUGAUGAUCUUACUUCAUAGGGAUUUUAAAUUAAGAAUAGUGCUUAGGUUAAAAUGCCCUCCUAAAUCAAAUUAGACAUGGUGUCUAUGUUGAUUUUUGAGCCGAUAGUAUGUUAUAGUAGAUAUUGGAUAUUUUGUUGAACUAACCUCUGCAGGAAAACUUUCAAUAUCGACCUAGGAAGUCCUGAGAUAAACUCACAUUGGAGACAAAGAGAGAGAGACACAUGAAGUUUAACAAUUUACACAAGGAAGGAAUAGCUCACAAGAGAUGUUCCGUGGAGGGUGCCAGAAACACGAUGCAUAACCGCUAAGAAAGGAACGCUUCCACAAGGUGAUACUGUUCCAUCACUCUUCAAGUAAGGUAACAUCUUAAGGUACUUAACUAUCACUUUUAUAAGCUUCUCCUUAGUUCUGGCGUUCACAUGAAUAAAAGAGACAAACAUGUAUGAUUUACAACUCUAGAUUAACCAACCCAAUCGAUUCAACAUGUUUAGUCCUUGCACCUUUGUGAUCCCACACUCCUAAUCAUAUGAGCUAAAAUGUUGCACACACAAUCUUUGGAAGAUAUAUAAAAAAACAUAAGUAUAGAUAGAUUAUCUUUCCAUUAGGUUGAGUGAUCUGAUCUGACAAAUGUUCUAAAUGCUACACUCAUGAUCCAUCAACUUUGUCUUGCUCACUAUGCUUAAGGUUAUAGAAGAACAAAUACACUUUUGGUUUUGUUGGUGUUUUCCACCAACAGGGCCCAUGCACUUGAUCUCUGCCUUGUCUCUAUGAGCAGGUACACUUCGAGCAAAAUAUGAAGGUGUUUUACAACUCCCAGACUCCACCAAGUGAAGAACCUGGAUCUACGAGCACAAGCACACUGGAGAUACUGGACACUCAAGCAAUCACUGCCCUGAGAUGCUUGAGGACGUAAACUACAUCAUCAACAACAACAACAACAACUACAACCGUCCUCAACAAAAUCAAGGUUGGAAUCAACAGAAACCUAACUACUCAGGUAAUUAUCAUGGUAAUAAUUCUUACAAUAAUAAUAAGAAUUUUCUACCUCUGAGAGAGUUAGUGUCUAAUAAAGGAAAGCUAAUGGAUAACCUAUCUAAGAAAUUGGCAUCUAAUGUUAAAAUGUUAGAAAAUAUAAAUAAUAGAAUGGAUAAUUUCUCUACUGCCAUCAAAAAUUAAAUUAGCUUUAAUAAAAUGAUUGAAUCUUAGUUAAAUCAAAUAGCUGUUGCUGUUCCUACUACUAACCCCGGUAUACCAUCACAACCAGAAGAAUUAGAAUCUGCAAAUCUUGUAGACAUGUUUGAGGCAGGUAAAUACUGGAGUAACCCCGUUGUGGAAGUAGUUACUGACGUUCUGCCGGUCAAGGGAGGCGAUCCAGGAUGCCCCGUCAUCCCGAUCUCCAUGGGCAUGGUGGACUUCCCAGAAGCACUCUGCGACUUUGGCUCCAGCGUCAACAUUAUGCCUAGGGUACUCUAUGAAAAAUUCUUUACACAUCCUUUACUAUAAAGAACCAUGUGUUUGCAGCUUGUAGAUCGGACAAUAAGUUUCCCAAAGGGAAUAUUGAAGAACCUCUGCUUCCGAGUUGGUACAUUGUACGCCCCAGAAGACUUCGUGGUGAUAGAGACUGGUACUGAUGAGAGGGCACCCAUCAUCCUAGGGAGGCCAUUCCUGAACACCUUGGGAGCUGUCAUCUACGCUAGUGCUGCCAAGAUCAGUUUCUACAUCAAGGGGAGGAAGGAGACGUUUUCCUUCAAGAACAAGACUACACAAAUCUCAGAGCAAUCCCGACAUGAACCAAGGAAGAGGACCAACAGGAGGAACAUGAACAAGCAAAUGUGGACCGAGUCAGCUAAGAUGGUCACUGCAGUUCAAGGUGGUCAAGAUCAUCGACUUAAGUCACCGUUCCUGACCAAAAAGGACGACCCAGGUAUGCCAAGCAUCUAGUGCUCCAUUAAUGGAUAGAACUUCUAGAAGACGCUUUGCGACACCGGGUCAGGCGUCAACAUAAUGGCCGCAGUCACCUAUCAUCUCCUGUUCGGAACCAUGCCCCUAAAACCGACAUACAUUCAGCUCCAGAUGGUAGAUCAGACAUUCCGAAUUGUUCAAGAUAUAGUAACUGAUGUCCCUGUCAAAAUAGACGAUCAUUUUGUCCAUACAGAUUUUCAGGUUAUUGACAUGGGAGAAGACGAGUACGAUCCACCCAUCAUCCUUGGGAGACCGUUCCUCAGCACCGUUAAACCAAUCAUCUACAUUUGAACCAGAGAAGUCCACAUGCACUUCCCCUCUGAGAAGGUACGCCGCUAUUUUACUGACCCUAACUAUAUAGUUGAAGACUCUAAGCAGGUCAGGACCUGAAGAAGACGAGGCAACCGCAACCAGAGGAGGCAAAUCAUAAAGGAUGGAUGGGCAGACUACGAAGGAGAAGUGGUAAGGUCUAAGACAUACAACUUGAAUAGAACUGUCCUGAGGAGAGCGUAGCACCGAGUCAGGUGUGGAGAGAGAAGAUAGUUAUACACGAAGAGGAGGCGCCGCCGGAACCAUCGACUACGCCAUCCGACGAAUCCCAAGACGACUGAGAAAACGGAGAGUCCCGUUUGGAUGACUUAAAAACACCGAACGCCUUGCCAAGAGGUAAACUUGGUAGUUAUCCUUUUCCUUUCAAUUAUUUAAAAUAAUUUGCUUAGUUAUUCAGGUUCAUAUCAUCUUGAAAAGAAAAUAAAAAUGUUAAAAAUAGUAAGCCCCAUGUGAGUAUGCUCAUGGCAUAAAACCCAUAAGUACAUUCACUGUGGUAGUGUAAAAAUAAAAUAAAUAUAUUCCUGUCCUAUAAAAAUGAAAAUAUAAAAAUAAAUUUAUGAUCCUACCAAAGAGAGUAAUAUUUAAUAGAGGAAGCUCAACAUGAUAACGGCUAAGAGAUUUUAUGCUAACACUUAACCAGUUCCACAAAGCUUGGUUGUCUAUUUGAGCUCCACAAAAUUCAACGAUCAAAGAAGACUAGCAGACGGAGGACAUCCUAAUCGCUGUCAGGGUGCUGCCGACAUGCAAAUACACCUCUGCCACCUGCUAGCUGCAUCAGAAGAAAUUACGUCAAAAUCCGCCUUGGGGGAGAGCACCCCCAUUUAUCCAGCUAAGUGUUCUACUCACGUUUAUACUUUACUCAAAUAAUAAAAAGAUGCAUAACCAUAAAAACCCAAAUAAAGAUUUUGUGCUUAUAUAUAUAUAUAUCUUUGCUUAGUUUGCUAAAUAAAUAAAUAAGUAAAGUUUGCUAUGAACCCUCAUGAUAAGCUCUCAUAUGGAAAUGAUGAAUAGUUGCUCUACCAUGACUAGUUCUCAAAAUUGAAAUCUCUCUCAAGUUUAGGCAUGACUGUUAUUAAUUAAGAAUUGCUCUAAACCUGAACUUGUGGGAAGAGUACUUGAUCUAAAGUUUAAGUUGUUAACGGAUAUGAUAUGGGAAGGUUGACCUACUAUUUAUCUGUUCCUAGAGUUGCUAGAAUUCUUGAGAAUUUUAUAUUUGAAAAUCUUUAAAAAUGUUGCAUGAUGAGUUCCUGUAUGAUGAGAGUUUAAAAUACUACCACAGCCAUAUAUACAUGCUUAGUAGACUAUGAACCAUACAUUUACUUUUUACUGCUUAUGAGCAUUGUGUGUGGUCAAGUUGUGUAGAACCUUAGGAGCUUGUCAUGUGGUCAAAAUCAAGAUUCUAUUGCACGUUCACUCAUACAUGCUGCUUGUACUCCAGAAGUACGCAUCCACAUAUAUCCACUCAUUUCCAUAUCCAGAUUCACCCAAAAUUAUUCUACUUCUAUCUAGGAGAGAAUAGCCAAAAACAUUAUCCUAUCCCUAUUAUUCCCCGUGAAAUAAAUGCUCGAGAUAUUAUGGUUACUACCACUUGCUACAUUAUUUCAGGAGGGUGAGUGCUCUAAAAAAAGAAGUGAAUACGAGGAAAUAAAAAGGGGCAAGUGCCCGAAACCUCGAGAAAGAAAAAAAGAGAAAAAGUGAGACAAGAGGUUAAAAUGGACAAGUGUCCGACAAUAGAAUUAGGUGUACAAGAUACCCACCUGAGUGAAAAGAAAAAUAAAAUAUAGAGCAUCUCAUUCCCCUCAAAAGCCUCAAGUGCAAGGAAGAUAUGUACCCCCUCAAAAGAGCAAAAGAAAAAUCAGACUUUCACCAUUAUUUUCACCAUUAUCACCAUUCAUUCGCCACACAUGCACAUCUUGAUUUGACUUAUUGGCUUGUGCUUCUGGAUCCAUGGUUUGACUAUGCAAUAAAUGUCUUUUAAGUAUGUAUUAGCUGUCAACCACCUAUGAGCUCCAAAUAUCAAAACCUUAUUAGAGUAGGGUGAGAGAGAAGGCAAUGCCACUAUGCCUCAUAUCAAAAAUACCACAUACUUUGAGAGAAGGCAUACACCGUUACUGCCUUGGUAAGGAUCCAGAAAUACCACAAAACAGAGACUAGAGAGAGUCAUACAAGGAAUCUCUGAGUUUUAUUUGAAAAUCUGCAAAAUCUCCAGAGCUAUAGUUAAUCGAAGAACAAGAGACAUGGCGCUUGACUAGACCGUUCUAUUUUUUAACUGCUCAAGACACAAGUGACCCAUGGUGGAAGAAAAAUUGAGUAAGUUUAUGUCUUAGCAGUUUACCCUAACCCAGAGAUGAGAUCUUGUUUGAACACAUGUGUACCUUUAAAGCAUGAAACCACUGCAGAAACUCUUGAGUCCAUCAUUGGUCAGGGAUGAGCAAAGGUUAAGCUUAGGGGAGCUUGUUGACGGUCCUUAAUGCUCACAUUUAACCGUCAACUAAUCAUGGAAAAGGAUCCAAAUGCAACCGACACCUAGACUUAGGGUUUUAUCUGACAGAAUUCCACGAGUUUUGGUGUUUGUCUAUUUCUGCAGGGGUUAUCAGGAAAUAUGGAGGAAAGGCCCACACGUCGGGUUUACAUAGAAAUAUUAACGUGUGCGCCAAUUUUCUAGCAUCUAGAAGACUCCAGAAAUCACAGGAACGAACGGGAGGCCGAGCGGGCCCGGGGGCAGGGCGCCCGCCCUGCCCUGGUGACCAAUGUUGACUGUCCUUAAUGCUCAUAAUUAACCAUCAAUUAAUCAUGGAAAAGGAUCCAAAUGCAACCAACACCUAGACUUAGGGUUUUAUCUGACAGAAUUCCACGAGUUUUGGUGUUUGUCUAUUUCUGCAGGGGGCUAUCAGGAAAUAUGGAGGAAAGGCCCACACGUCGGGUUUACAUAGAGAUAUUAACGUGCCGUGCAAUUUUCUAUCUUCUAGAAGACUCCAGAAGCCACGGGAACAAACCGGAAGCCGAGAGGACUCAGGGACUGGGCACCUGCCCUCCUCUCCUGGGCGCCCGUCCUCACCUAGAGUCCAAUCAGGACUCCAUUUCGGGAUAUUGCUCCAACGACCUAAAGGAUCAAGGAUAACUGUUCAAUCAAUGUUGGUUUGAUCCAACAACCCAGAUUCAUUUGAAAAGACUAUAUAAGCAAGGCCCCCUGGCCCCUGGAGAUCAUACCUCUGCUACAGAAUCAAAGUUAGGGUUUCAAUUCUUCAUCCAAGUAGAGAGGAUCCCUCUACUUCUUCUAGUUCUACCUCUAGUAGAGAUCUAGUUCUUCUAGUUCAUCUAGUUCUAGUUCUAGUUCCUCUAGUUCUAGUUCUAGUUAGUUCUAGUUGUAAUCUAGAAAAUAGGGAGAGAGAAGAGGAGAGCGGAGGAGGAGCCGGAUCUGUCGGAUCUUCCUUAACAAUGUACUUUUGCAGCAACUGGUUCGUUCUUCAUCGUUCUCCAAGUUCUUCAAUUCAUAAUUCCUGAGUUCUUUAAUUACUUUUAUUUACAUUCAAGUUAUUUAUUGGAUUCCCGCUUGCAUCAAGUGCUCUAAUCUUUGAAACAUUAGAGUAGUAAUUAAUUGAUUAGAUGUGGUGUUUAGUCUUGCAAUUACCUGGAAUUGCACCCAAUCCUGCAGAUUGUUGUGGUAGCCUUAGGGUAGUGACAGCCCUAACGGUCGACGUAUUCCACCUCGUUCAGAUCGGUGUUUGUGGACCAUAGUCAGACCUUUCUAGCCCCCUUCUCAUCUCUUUCCGUGGUUAGUGCUCUGAUGUCCCGAUAUAGAUAAUCUUGAAGUAAUUCUUGAUUCUUAGAUCAACUAGAGAACUCUCAGGAAACUUCCUCUCUUCCCACCAAAAAUAAUUAUAUAGUUAUCCUUGGGCGAUCUUGGAUCUUAAUUAGUACACUCACGUUCCCUUUGGAAAAUCGAUACUCUGGAAUACUCCCGGGUGAAAGCUACAUCGGUAUCCGUACGCUUGCGGAAUUUUCUGUUUGCGUUUAAAAUACCCAACAAGUUUUCUGGCGCCGUUGCCGGGGAACGGUAGCUGUGCUAGUUUCGAACCAAGUCGUCCGUGCAUCCUUUUUCUUUUCCUUUUUUACCACACUCACCUUAUCAUUUUCACCAUACCACAUGGAUUUCACUCUAAGCAUUAAUGAGCAUGGAAUUUAUUUCAUAGCCACUUCAUUUACUCCAUGCUCAUAUGCAACAUCUUCCCAAUCCAUUGGUCUCUCCAACAUCACCACAUUCAAGAUCUCCAACACCCUCAUCCUUUCUAAAAGAUCGGUUGUCGAUGCAUAUGUCUAUAUUAAAUAUUGCAGAUCUCGUUGAGUUGAUCUUGAUAUAGGUCAGCGUUGGAGGGGAAACUACUUCACUGACAUAAAUUGAUGGUUUCCCAAGGACAAGCUUAGUGUCCUAAAAUAAGCACUGAUCAGGUUGUAACAUGAGCUUUUAAUUAUUUGCAACAUUACCUUGUGUGUUGAGCAUAUAAGGAAAAUUGUAAAAAAAGUCCUUCGGGUAUUCUUGUCACUAACCUUUCUAGGAUUGGAGCAAGAAGAUCGGAUGAAUGACAAGCACAAGGUAUGUCCAACCAAUCAUCAUACAACAUUGAGUUAAAUUCAUCCAAACUUGAAUUUUGCAAAAUUCAAGCUUGGGGGAGUACUUUACAUAAAACAUCCUUUGCCAUGUUGCUAUGUUGGUUGUCCCUACCUUUGAGACAUGCUCAAUUUGUUAAAUACUAAUCACACUACUUCAUCUCCACUUGAGUAGAUCUCUAUAAAUGCUCUCAUGCUACCUUUAUUUGCUUUAGUAUAUGUCUAGGUUUGGAGUAGUAUAAUUUAUCUCUUAAUUAAGCUUGGUGCUUAGUUUAGGAAUGAUGAUCUUACUUCCAAGGGGUUUUAAAUUAAGCAUGGUGCUUAGGUUAAAAUGCCCUCCUAAAUCAAAUUAGACAUGGUGUCAAGGUUGAUUUUUGAGCCGAUAAUAUGCUAUAGUAGAUAUUGGAUAUUUUGUAGGACUAACCCCUGUAGGAAAACUUUCACUAUCGACCUGGGAAGUCCUGAGAUAAACUCACAUUGGAGACAAAGAGAGAGGCACAUGAAGUUUAACAAUUUACACAAGGAAGGCAUAGCUCACAAGAGAUGAUCCAUGGAGGGUGCCACAAACACGAUGCAUAACCUCUAAGAAAGGAAAGCUUCCACAAGGUAAUACUGUACCAUCACUCUUCAAGUAAGGUAACAUCUUAAGGUACUUGACUAUCACUUUUAUAAGCUUCUCCUUGGUUCUGGCGUUCACAUGAACAAAAGAGACAAACAUGUAUGAUUUACAUCUUUACAUUAACCAACCCAAUCGAUUCAACAUGUUUAGUCCUUCCACCUUUGUGAUCCCACACUCCUAAUCAUAUGAGCUAAAAUGUUGCACACUCAAUCUUUGGAAGAUAUAUAUAUAAAAAAACAUAAGUAUAGAUAGAUUAUCUUUCCAUUAGGUUGAGCGAUCUGAUCUGACAAAUGUUUUAAAUGCUAUACUCAUGAUAUUAUUAUCCAUCAACUUUGUCUUGCUCACUAUGCUUAAGGUUAGAGAAGAACAAAUACACUUUUGGUUCUAUUGGUGUUUUCCACCAAUAGGGCCCAUGCACUUGAUCUCUGCCUUGUCUCUAUGAGCAGGUACACUUCGAGCAAAUAUGAAGGUGUUUUUCAACUCCCAGACUCCACCAAUUGAAGAACCUAGAUCUACGAGCACAAACACACUGGAAAUACUGAACACUCAGGCAAUCACUGCCCUGAGAUGCUUGAGGACAUAACUACUGGAGUAACCCUAUUGUGGAAGUAAUUACUGACCUUCUGCCGGUUAAGAGAGACAAUCCAGGAUGCCCCGUCAUCCCAAUUUCCAUCGGCAUGGUGGACUUCUCAGAAUCACUCUGCGACUUUGGCUCCAGCGUCAACAUCAUGCCCAGGCUUGCAGAUCGAACACUAAGUUUCCCAAAGGGAAUAUUGAAGAAUCUCUACAUCCGAGAUGGUACUUUAUACGCUCCAGCAGACUUCGUGGUGAUAGAGUCUGAUACUGAUGAGAGGGCACCCAUCAUCCUUGGGAGGCCAUUCCUAAACACCUCGGGAGCUGUCAUCUACGCAAGUGCUGCCAAGAUUAGUUUCUACAUCAAGGGGAAGAAGGAGACGUUUUCCUUCAAGAACAAGACUACACAAAUCUCAGAGCAAUCUCGACAUGAACCAAGGAAGAGGACCAACAGGAGGAACAGGAACAAGCAAAUGUGGACCGAGUCAGCUAAGAUGGUCACUACAGUUCAUGGAGGUCAAGAUUGUCGAUUUAAGUCACCGUUCCUGACAAAAAAGGACAACCCAGGUGUGCCAAGCAUCCAGUGCUCCAUUAAUGGAUACAACUUCCAGAAGACGCUUUGCGACACCGGAUGUCAGAUCAGACAUUUCGAAAGGUUAUUGACAUGGGAGAAGACGAAUUCGAUCCACCCGUCAUCCUUGGAAGACCGUUCCUCAGCACCGUUAAAGCAAUCAUCUACAUUUGAAUCCGAGAAGUCCACAUGCACUGCCCCUCUUAGAAGGUACGCCACUAUUUUAAUGACCUUAACUAUAUAGUUGAAGACUCUUAGCAGGUCAGGACAAGAAGAAGACGACGCAACCGCGAAUAGAGGAGACAAAUCAUUAAGGACGGAUGGGCACACUACGAAGGAGAAGUGGUAAUGUCUGAAGACAUACAGCUUGAACAGAACUGUCCUGAGGAGACCGUAGCACCAAGUCAGGUGUGGAGAGAAAAGAUAGUUAUACACGAAGAGGAGGCGCCGCCAGGAACCACCGACUACGCCAUCCAGCAAAUCCCAAGACGACUAAGAAAACGGAGAGUCUCGUUCGGAGGACUUAAAAACACCGAACGCCUUGCCAAGAGGUAAACUUGGUAGUUAUUAUUUUCCCUUUCAAUUAUUUUAAAAUAGUUUGCUUAGUUAAUCAGGUUCAUAUCAUCUUGAAAAGAAAAUAAAAAUGUUGAAAAUAGUAAGCCCCUUGUGAGUAUGCUCAUGGCAUAAAACCCAUAAGUACAUUCACUGUGGUGGCAUAAAAAUAAAAUAAAUAUUUCUUUUCUGAUUUAUCAAACGAAAAUAUAAAAAAUAGGGAGUAACAUUUAUUAAGAAAGCUCAACAUGAUAAAGGCUAGAUACUUAUUGUGGGUGUAUAAACCCCUAUACCCUUACGGCUAGACUUGGGCCAGUAGGUUUGGCCCAUUACGAGACAAGUUCGAAGCUUGAUCCGACAACUCGGAGUUUCGCGCAAGGAAACAAGAUGUGGAGAUCAAGCAGGAUUCUAGUCGGUUAGAAUAGAAAUGGAUAUCGAACUAUCUAUGGCAAUUGUAAUCGACUAGGAUUAGUUUCUAGAUCUGUAACCCUGCCCUCCGGACUAUAUAAGGAGAGGCAAGGGACCCCCCUAGGACAUCAUUAUUCUCUCAACACAAAUCAAUACAACCAGACGCAGGACGUAGGUAUUACGCCAACCCGGCGGCCGAACCCGGAUAAAAAGCUUGUCCGUGUCUUGCGUCACCAUCGAGUUCGUAGUUUGCGCACCGUCUACCGACAAACUACUACCAUGGGUAUACCCCAAGGUAGACUGCCGACAAGCUUUCAUCGACUUUGGCGCGCCAGGUAGGGGGUGUGCGUACAACUUUUCCGGCGAGCAAGAUGGUCAUCAUUCCAGCUUCCGCGGCCGUGCCUGAAGGCCUCACGUUCACCGUCGGCCAGAUCACGUGGACGACGCACGGCGGCGGUCUCACGACCACGGUUUCGGGAGGAACCCAGAUCCAAUCUGGGAUGACGGUGGCAUCGGCUCCGACCACGCAGAUGCUGGUACAGAGCACCUGACCACCGCUUCUGUGCUACAAGGGAAAGAAGAUCGAUGGCUCGGAUCUCCUCCGUGCCCUUGAUCGCCCUGAUUUCAAGCUUCUCGAAGCUUCCCGACUAGUAGAUGGGAUCUCGCGCCAGCCUGAUCAAGCCGCACCAACGGAUUUUUUCAACUCCUACCGGCCAACUCGUGUCGUCACACACGAACGGCUGGGAACGUCUCUGAUGAUAACCUCAACCCCCUCAGGACGGUCCGUCAAGAUCGAGGCUGAUCCGGAGGAAGAUUAUCCUUGCGGUCUGAACAACUCGGCCUCUCUCUACUCGCGGCACAUCCAACCCCUUUUUCACAAGGCUGGUUGGUUGCCAAAGUGGAGCGGUCGACCAGCUCGUCACUACGUCAACAUGGUGACGAUCCGAGAACUACGGGACGGCCAGGCUUCCAGCACAAAUUCGAGCACUGGUUCCGUGCCCACUGAAGUCAUAAACUCCGAGGAUGAGGACUACGACCUGGAUUUGCCACCAUAUCCUUCGGGUUUCUCUCGUUUCCUGGUCUUCCCACCCCGGCGAGGAGACCUCGUUUUCAACGUCAGCGCCGACGAGUUGGUUGUUGAUGGAGAAACAGACGAGCAGAGGCAGCUCCGCGAGCAGCGCAAUGCCGACCACGCCCGACGACGCGCGGACGAGGAACGCCAAGUCCCGCCGCAUAAUCUCACCGACGCUUUCGACAUGGUCGGGGAUCAGCCAGUCUACAAAACGCCAAGCGCCAAUGUGGCUGUCGCCAUGGCCAAUUUAGAUCAACUCCCCGAUAUUCCCGAGUGCCAGGGCAUCCGAUCCAGCGUUCGAGCGCAUCUGAUCGCUGCGAUGGGACAGACAGCCACUCUGCUCAAAAGAGUCCAAGCCAUCUCCUAUACAGAGGUCUCCUCUGACCAGACCCACCACAGUCAGACCUCACCACAGCCCAGUAGGCACCACCGCAGCCAUUCCCCCAACAAUCAUCGAAAAGAUUCACGGCGUGACGACGGCGGUCGGGACGCUGGCCGUCACCGUGUGCAGAAUCGCGGGCGUGGUCAAGAAGUAAACCAGCACAGGGAUCUUCGAUACAACAUCCCUCCCAAAGACGCCCGGGACCACAUCAACAGGCGCGCCACGGAAAGAGCAGUUCACGAAAACCUGCGUCCUAUUGAGUACGAUGCAACGCACGGCCCCCCGGGUCUGAGACAUUUCUCCUCACACCUCCGCCAAGUCGUGUGGCCUCGCAAUUUAAAGCUCGAGAAACUCAAAAAAUAUGAUGGCAAGGAAAACCCAGAAAACUGGAUCACUCUAUAUGAGAUCACCGUCCGGUCAGCAGCAGGAGAUGAGCACGUCAUGGCCAACUACUUCCCGGUCGUCCUCGACCAGGCCGGUCACUAGUGGCUCCUAGGCCUGCCCGAGGACUCUUUUGACUCCUGGGAAGAAUUACGCUAAGCAUUCAUCGACAAUUUUAUCGCUACCUACGAACAGCCCGGGAACAAAUAUGACCUCGAAAGGAUACGGGACAGGAAGAACGAGCCACUGCGUGACUACAUCCAACGAUUCUCGGAUAUGCGCCUUAAGAUCCCGAAAAUUUCCCAUGACGAGGCCAUAUCUGCUUUCAUAAAAGGGCUGCGCUUCCACGAAGCACUGAGGAACAAGCUACUGCACAAAAGGCCAACAACGAUGGCCAAGCUUCUUGCCACGGCUGAAAACUACGCCUACGCCGACGACGCAGAAAAACUCAUUCGGGAUGACGCGAGAGGACCCAACCAGCCUCCUCGACGAGACGAUAGUCGUGGUCGCUUCAACAACAGGAACCAUCGUCGCCUCGACAACCGCGAUCAUAGGGAAGGUUGGCGACGCGACAAUCGCGACGACUUCAGAGGAAAGCGCCCCCGCGACCACGACCACGAGGUGAAUACAGUCAAGCGCCCCAACAGGCGGCAGGAUUACCAAGAAGACUACAACAAGACGUUGAAGGGACCAUGCCAACUGCAUCCAAAGUCCAACCACACCAUGGAAGAAUGCCGCGUCCUCAAAAGCAUCUAUACACGGCGGGCUGCUCAAGACGACCCCGCCAAGAAAAACGGGAAACAAGACGGGCGCGAUCACGAAGACGAGGACGAAGACCAGGAUAGGGACCCACGACACCAGUAUGUCAGUCCUACUGACGUGGUCCACUCCAUCUUCGGGGGCAAGGUUUCCAUCGAGUCUAAACGAGAAAGAAAGCUCUUAAAGAGAGCCUGCCUCAACAUAGACAGCACGGAUGGCCUGAUCGCUGAUCUGAAAUUUCCUCCCUGGUCGCACAGGGAAAUCUCCUUCAGCAGGAAGGAUUAGUGGGCCGCUAUCUAAGAGCCAGGUCGUUUCCCUCUAAUCUUGGACCCUUGCAUCAACAGCAUCAGAUUCGAGCGCGUGCUCGUGGACGGAGGAAGUUCCAUUGACAUCCUCUUUCGCAACAACCUGCCCGCCCUCAAGAUAUCUCCAGCACAGCUAAAACCCUAUGACGCUCAAUUCUGGGGAGUCUUGCCAGGUCAGAGUUCAAUGCCCCUCAGACUGAUAACACUGCCUGUCCAAUUCGGCACGUCCGACCACUUUCGAACAGAGUUCGUCAACUUUGUGGUCACCGAUUUUGAUGGGACUUACCACGCUAUACUGGGUCGACCAUCGCUGACAAAGUUCAUGGCAGUCCCACAUUACUCAUACCUGGUCCUCAAAAUGCCUACGGAGAAGGGCGUCCUAACCGUCAGGGGCAAUGUCUACACUGCAUAUACUUGCGAGGAGAGCUUCAAGAUCACUGAAUCAAUCAAUCUGUCAAUUCGCAUGGCAGAAACAGCAGCCCAAGCCGCACAGCUCCCUCACGACCAGCUCCGACUGCCCGAGCAGGAGAAAGCCAGGAAGAAUGCAAAAUCCAAGGAGUACAAGGAAGUACAGCUCGUUGAAGGUAGCCCCGAGAAGACGGCCCUCAUCGGGGCCAACCUGGAUCCCAAAUAGGAAGACGCGCUCGUUAGGUUUCUAAGGGACAACGUGAGCGUUUUCGCAUGGAAACCCGCAGACAUGCCCGGUGUCCCACGAAACCUGAUCGAGCACUCCUUAAAUGUCUCGAAGACCGCAAGACCCAUCAAGCAAAAGCUGCGACGGUUCGCUCGUGACAAAAAGGAGGCUAUUAGGACAGAAAUAACACGGCUUCUAGCAGCUGGAUUCAUAAAAGAAGUGUAUCAUCGGUUCUUGUACGCAAAAAGAAUAAUGAAUGGAGAAUGUGCGUUGAUUACACUGAUCUCAAUAAACAUUGUCCUAAAGAUCCUUUUGGUCUCCCUCGCAUCGACGAGGUGGUCGACUCAACGGCCGGAUGUGAACUCCUAUCUUUUCUAGACUGCUACUCUGGUUAUCACCAGUUCUCGCUAAAGGAAGAUGAUCAGAUCAAAAUGUCUUUCAUUACUCCUUUCGGCGCAUACUGCUACAUGACCAUGUCCUUCGAACUCAAAAACGCCGGAGCCACCUAUCAACGGGCCAUCCAGCAAUGCCUCCACGACGAGAUUCGUGAUGACCUCGUCGAGGCUUAUGUAGACGACGUUGUCGUCAAAACAAGGGAAGCAAGCACCCUAAUCGACAACUUAGACUGAACCUUUAAGGCGCUAAACAAGUACAAGUGGAAGCUUAACCCCAAAAAGUGCAUCUUUGGUGUCCCGUUCGGUCACUACUCGGCAACGUCGUCAGCCGCGACGGCAUACGACCGAAUCCUUCAAAAGUAAAAGUAGUACUUGACAUGCGACCACCUAAGAAUGUCAAGGAUAUUCAGAAGCUCACCAGAUGUAUGGCCGCUCUCAGCUGCUUCAUCUCAAGACUAGGAGAAAAAGGCCUCCCUUUCUUCAAACUCUUGAAGGCGUCGGAAAAAUUCUCCUAGACAGAAGAGGCUGACGCUGCGUUCACCUAGCUUAAGACCUUCCUCACCUCACCGCCUGUUCUCACAGCGCCUCAGCCCAAUGAAGACCUACUCCUUUACAUUGCGGCAACCGACAGGGUUGUCUCCACGGCAAUAGUGGUCGAGCGAGACGAGCCAGGUCACAUCUACAAGGUCCAGAGACCCGUUUAUUUCAUAAGCGAAGUCUUAAACGAGUCCAAGGCCAGAUAUCCACAAAUACAGAAGCUCAUAUACGCCAUUCUAAUAACGUCGAGGAAGCUAAAGCACUACUUCGACGGCCAUCGAGUCUUGGUAACCACCAGUUUCCCUCUUGGGGAUAUUCUGCGCAAUAAAGACGCCAAUGGUAGAAUUGUAAAAUGGGCAAUGGAGUUAUGCCCAUUCUCCCUGGACUUCCAGAGCCGCACCACAGUCAAGUCUCAGGCCCUGGUCGAUUUCAUCACAGAGUGGACGGAUCUCAACGAGCCUCCCGUUUCCGACGUUUCCGACCACUGGUCAAUGUUCUUCUACGUCUCCUUGAACAUCAACGGCGCCGGGGCUGGGAUACUUUUCGUGUUGCCUAACAAGGACAAACUGCGUUACAUCCUUAGGAUCCUUUUUCCGGCAUCAAACAACGUCACCGAGUACGAAGCAUGCCUGCACGGCAUACGACUAGCCGUUGAGUUGGGAGUCAAACGCCUCUACGUCUAUGGCGACUCCGCCUUAGUUAUCAACCAGCUCAACAAGGAAUGGGACGCAACCCACGAGAAGAUGGAUCUCUACUACAAAGAAAUCCGCAAAUGGGAAUCCAACUUCUAUGGCAUAGAGUACACCCAUGUGGUCCGGGAUAAAAACCAGGCAGCAGAUGCGCUGUCAAAGUUAGGGUCAUCUCGGGCCCAGAUCCCGCGAGGUGUUUUCGUCCAGGACAUCCAUGAGCCGAGUGUGGGCACAGACCUGGUCGAAAAGCAACCUAUUGAGGCAAUGCUCAUAGACGACGCUACUCCGACAACCAGCAGCCGUGAUUGGCGCACCCCGUUCAUCAGAUACAUAUCGGACGGGUCAGGCUUUCACGAUAAAACGGAGAACAAGCGCCUCAUUCGACGAUCAAAGAAUUACAUACUGGUGGACGGCAAACUCAUGCGAAAAAAUGUAAGUUCUGAAGUGCUGCUCAAAUGCAUAUCCCAGGAUGAUGGCAUCAAGCUCCUAGACGACAUACACGCUAGAUCCUGCGGCAACCAUGCUGCCUCCAAAACGUUGGUCGGGAAGGCUUUCCGAGCAGGUUUUUACAGGCCAACCGCAGUCACCGACGCAGAAAAACUGGUCCGACAUUGUGAGGGAUGCCAGUUCUUUGCCAAAAGGACCCCCGUACCUACUCAUGAGAUUCAAAUUAUCCCGUCAUCCUGGCCUUUCGCCUGCUGGGGUCUCGACAUGAUCGGGCCAUUUAAACCGGCUCCUGGCAACUUCAAGUUUGUCUUCGUAUUAAUUGACAAAUUCUCAAAGUGGAUCGAAUACAUGCCACUAGUCAAAGCAACCUCCGAGAAAGCUGUGGAAUUCCUCAAUCAAAUCAUACACAAAUUCGGGAUCCCCAACAGUAUAAUCACCGACUUGGGCACUCAGUUCACUGGCACUAUGUUUUGGGACAUCUGCGAUGACAGAGGCAUUGUGAUAAAAUACGUGUCAGUAGCCCACCCACGGGCAAACGGUCAAGUAGAGCGCGCGAAUGGCAUGAUCAUUGAUGCCCUAAAGAAAAGGUUGUACACCGAGAACCACAGAGCACCUGGUCGAUGGAUGAAAGAGUUACCGGUUGUGGUAUGGGGUCUCCGAACACAGGCUAGUCGGAACACGGGGGUGUCACCCUACUUCAUGGUUUACGGCACUGAGGCAGUGCUGCCGUCUGAUAUAGCCUUCGGGUCUCCUAGAGUUGAAAACUUUGGCCAGUCAACGGCCGACAACGCCAGGGAGCUCGAAAUCAACUGCAUGGAGGAAAAGCGUCUAAAUUCAUGUUUUCGAAUAGCAAAGUAUCUUGCGGCCAUCAUACGGUACCACAACAGGAACAUCAAGGACCGUUCUUUCAUGGUCGGCGAUCUGGUACUCAGGUGGAAAACAAGCCAGGAAGGAAUGCACAAGCUAUCCACCCCGUGGGAAGGACCCUUUGUGGUCGCCGAAGUCACACGUCCUACAUCCUACAGAUUGGCGUAUCCAAACGGAACACGCGUGCCUAAUUCUUGGCACAUAGACAAACUGCGCCAUUUUUAUCCAUAAGUUCCAGUACCUUUUUGCUUGUAAGUUUCUUAUAAUUGGCAAUAAUAAAAGUUUUCCUUUUUCGCUAUACAUUGUUUACACGCAGAGCUUUCGACGAGCACAACAAUAUUCCUCUGCGACGGAGAUCCUUAACGACUAUGAGUCAAACACAGUGAUACAUCACUCAGAUAACUUUACAGCGCUCAAAAUCAUGGUCAUGACAAAAUCAAACUUUAUUACAAACUUUACAUACAGAGUUUACAAUAAACACCCUGACGGGCGGUUACUAGUCUACUCCUACAGACUAUCCUACUGGCCUACUCCUCGGGCUGAUCACCCGCCUGGCCUUGCUGCCCGGAUGAAGAGGGGGGGCCACCGGCGCCUGGCUGGUCGAGACCGCUGGCGUCAACCGCCCACCUUCGGCAAUAGACGCCCCCGACAACUCCCUGGCCGACCUGUCUGACCCCGGCUGGUCGGGGGGAGUGGCCGUCCCGCAUAGAUUGAUGUCGCCGAUCACCGUCGACGACAAGUCUAGCAGACCAGCUCGAAGGUCGUCCGCCUCCUGCGGGCUGACUUCCUUGGGGUACCCCCUCUCCAGCCUGGACAAGUCGACCAGGGGAUAGUGGGCGCGCACCAUGCUGAGGACAUGUGCGCCGGCAAACUCCCCGGCGUCCUUAACAAACUGCUGGAGCCAAUCCCACGCCCGUUGCGCCUUCUCGACUGGCGUCAGCUUCGGCGCGCGGGGCUGGUCCUCUGGAAGCUCGGGGCUGAUCAAGUCUAGGACCGGGGCCACUCCUUUCCAAAGCCUAAUACAGUUAGUCUUCCAGGAGUCCCGAUCCUUGACCAGCUCGUCUAAGCGCUUCUUGGUAUUUACCUUGAGCACUACAAACCAAGCAGGAGGUCAGUUUAAUAAUAAUGAACGGAACGUUGAGCAGCCAAAUAAAGGAGGGCGGCACGGUUAUUACCAGACAACUCCCGAUUCCUCUGGCCUAGCUCCUCGCCUGCUCGGCGCCCGGCCUCCAGCGCCCCGGCAAGCUCUUGACCGAGCUGCUCCUUCUCUUGCCGAAGGCGCGCGACCUCCUCCUCCAAGUCUACAUGAACAAUCCCCUGGUCAACAAAACCAACCACGUGGCUACAUACAGCUGCUCGGAGCAUGCGACUGACCUGUCCGUUGCCGAUACUGGUCGGCUAAACGCCGAGUGAGCUCAAGACGACGCUCUUCCUGGGCGCUCAUCUCAGCCACCUUCUCCCCAACCUCCGACCGCAGCCGGUCCACCUCCGCGGACAGGGCCUUGUUCUCGGCCACAAUGCCCUCUAUUUGGUCGAAGCACCUCUUCCGGUACUUCGCCAUUUUCAUUGCGCCCUGCAAGAAGAACAUAUGUCGACCCAGCAAGAUAGCACAAAAAGUGUCGAGUAGUGCAAAGGACCACUUACCUUAACUUCGUCCACAAGGCACUUGGCAACACGCUCCACCCUCGCGGCCUCUUCCGUCUCCGCGAGCUCCUCGUGUCCGAUGAAGUGGUCCCCGCGUUGGCGCCACACGUAUACGUGUUGGCGGCCAUCACGGGGACGACCUUCAAUUUCCUCCACGUCGUCGUCAGAGGCCGCCUGGGUUUCCUCGUUCGCUGCACUGCCACUGGCUGUGGUCGUAGGCAUCACUGGCCCCUGGACCAGGCCAGGGGAGCCUGCGGACGAAGAGGCUCCUGCCCGGGGUGGCGUUGGGAUCCCCCUCUCUUCGGCGGGGGGAGGGGUCGAGACUCUGUCUUCCCGUUCCGCAACGCUACUCGGGGGAGGGGUCCUCGUAGCCUCCUCAUCCCUUGUCGGGCUGCUCGCCACGGUCCUUGCUGAGGCCGAAAGCUCCUCGGCGCUCUCAGCCAUGGUUGCCGCCGCGGGGUGCUCCGAGGUCUGCGGCGCGGCGUCCUCAGCGGCAGCGGCAGGUUCGACCACCCUCUGGCCGGCAACAUGUUCAGGAUCGACGUCCGACGCCGUGCUAACAAUAAAACGACAUUUAAACAGUGUCAAAACGCAGCAACAAAAUGCAAAAAAAUCGCAGCACGAAAGUAAGAAUGCAAACUUACAGGUCAGAGCGCCGGUGCGUUGCGGUGAACCGCCUCCUGACUCUACCGGUCAGUGCCUGCGCCCCCGUCUCCACGACGUGCGUCGGCUCGACGUGCGAAGCAGGCGGGACACUGGUCACCCCACCAGUGGUGGCCGGCGCAACGUUCGGACGACUACGAGGCCUCCGGACCAACGACGGUGCGGCCUCCUCCUCCUCGUCGUCGUCGUCGGCGAUCCGGACGAGCCGACGGCGUUUUGGCGCCUGGCUGCUCUCUGCUGGCAGCGUUGGCACAGGGGAAGGGUCUGCUGCUAAUGGCCUUUUCCCUGCCACUCUGCCCUCGGUGGUCGGGGCGGGGUGGGCCUGCUCCUCCUCACUGCUGGUGUACCAGGCACACCGAGCAGCGUCGUCCUCCAGCGGAUCUUCCCCCGCGGGAUUCUCCAUCCCAGGUGCCAGUGAUACGUACACUGUGCACCGGUCAACGUCUCCGAUCUGCAACAGUAACAAAGACAAGUCAGCAACUGGAAAGAACAAGAACUAAGGAGGUACAAUCAGUAAGUAACGUUACCUUAGGAGCUGGUCGCCCCAGCUUGAAGGCCUGCACCCGAUCAUUACCACGGAUGAGGCUCCCGUCCGCAAAGUUGAACAGCUCGUUCAACAGCUGCUGCACUUCCGCCUUCUCCAAAACCUCAGGCCUCAUCCUGGUCGGGUCGUGGCUUCUAGCGUACUCGUACGCCGAGUGCACCCUUUUCUGGCAGGGCAUCACCCGACGACAAAUGAAGUUGCCGACCACUCCUAGCCCGUCCAAACGCGACCAGUCGAUCAGCUUCAUCAGGUCCGCUACUUGGCCGGCGAACUCUGGGCGGUCGGUCCAACUGACCCUCUUCUCGGGGAUAUACCCCACGUCGCAGAACGUGGAGCUGCCCGGCUAUUCCCUGAUGUAGAACCACUUCCUAUACCAUUCGGUAAGAGAAGUGUUCCAUGGGCAGCUUAGAUACCGGUUCUUCAUCCCGUCACGAAGAUUGAGGUAUACUCCACCUGCAAUCUUGGAGCCCCCAACCGCUCCCUUUUUCCUCAAACAGAAAAGAUAACGGAACAGAUCGAAGUGCUGCUCUAUUCCAACAUAGGCCUCGCACAGAUGAAUGAAAGUGGAAAUGAGAAGGAUUGAGUUUGGGUGCAGAUUGCAGAUCCCGAUCUCAUAGUACAAGAGAAGCCCCUGAACAAAAGGAUGGACAGGAACCCCAAAACCCUCUUGAAAAAAUCUUCAAACACUACAAUCUCACCGGCACGAGGGUCGGGGUAGCUCUCCCCCUCUGGCGCCCUCCAGCCGCCGAGCUCUGGGCCAUGUAGUAGCCCCAUGUCGACGAGGUCAUUGAGGGACUUCACACUGCUUUGGGACUUUUUCCAUUCCUUGGCCAUCCGCUCGGCCCUAUUCUUGGAGUCGCUCUUCGCCAUUGACGUUGCAGGAGUGACUGCGAGCUGGGAGGGUUACAGGUGGUUGUAGAAGGUAUGAGCGGAAAGCUUGAAGGUGAUGGCAGAGUAAGCAAUGCGGGGGUACUGUCAGGCUUUUAUAAACCACAACUCCACCCCUCCCACUUCCCGCAUUCUUGGGAAGUGGGCGGGCCCAGCGGCGGACGCGGCGUUUCGGUUUUCAAUAAUUAUCGGCAGUUAAUGCGGCGGCCUUUUCGUAUAAUUGAUGGUUUCCUUUUCUCAAACCACGCAAAGGGCGGCUGCGCAGUUACCAGGCACAACUUUUCACGCAACCAUCUGACAAUACGUCAAGAGGUCUCGUCACGUCAAUCAUUUACGUGGUAAGAUGUUUUCUUCAAAAUAACAGACAAAAAUUGGUGGAGGGUCAACAUUCCUGGGGACUGUGCCGACCACCGAGCACUAUAUGCUCGAGGACUGGUCGCCCAGUCCGUCAACAUGGAAAUCUAAGGACUGCACCGACCACCGAGCACUGUAUGCUUGGGGACUGGUCGCCCAGUCUGCCAUCUCGGUAAUCUAGGGACUGCACCGACCACUGAGCACUGUAUGCUCGGGGACUGGUCGCCCAGUCUGCCAUCUCGGUAAUCUGGGGACUGCACCGACCACCGAGUACUGUAUGCUCGGGGACUGGUCGCCCAGUCUGUCAGCUCAGGAAUCUGGGGGCCCUACCGAUCACCGAGCAUUGUACGCUCGGGGACUGGUCGACCAGCCCGCUAGAUUGAUAAGUCUAUCCGAUAGUAAACGAGUAUGAGAUGCUCGGGGACUGGAUAAUAUUAUUGUUUAGACCUUGCUACAAGGUUCAUACUUCGCCUUCCAGCAAGCUCGGGGACUACAUCGGUACGAUGCAUAAGGCGAUGCAUCUCAGUUUCAAAAUUUCUUUGAGGACUUUUCUUUUGACCCUGGCACCACGUGCCUACGUCACCUACUGCCAGACUCGGGGACUAAGUGGGCACACUUCACCUUGCGGUGAAUAUGCUUGCUUUUUGAAAGGCUAUACUUUUCAGCAAAGCAAAGUGGGCACACUUCACCAGGAAAGAAAUCUUUUUUGAUUAAGAGCACCAUGCAUUCUUCGAACAACCUGCUUCUUCGACAUUAAUAAUGAUCAACUGUCUUUUGAGUCGGUCAAAAUACCGUGGCAACCGUUUGGGCGACUCUCCUGCCUAUUGAAGGUGUCAAAGUUUCACUGAUCGAAGAAGCUCAAGACGGCGAGUUACUUCACAAUACAUGGUGCUCGGGGACUAGCUGUGGGGGUAUAGAGCCCUAUAUCCUUACAGCUAGACUUGGGCCAGUAGGUUUGGCCCAUUACGAGACAAGUUCGAAGCUUGAUCCGACAACUCAGAGUUUCGCGCAAGGAAACAAGAUGUGGAGAUCAAGCAGGAUUCUAGUCGGGUAGAAUAGAAAUGGAUAUCGAACUAUCUAUGGCAAUUGUAAUCGACUAGGAUUAGUUUCUAGAUCUGUAACCCUGCCCUCCGGACUAUAUAAGGAGAGGCAAGGGACCCCCCUAGGACAUCAUUAUUCUCUCAACAAAAAUCAAUACAACCAGACGCAGGACGUAGGUAUUACGCCAACUCGGCGGCUGAACCUGGAUAAAAAGCUUGUCCGUGUCUUGCGUCACCAUCGACUUCGUAGUUUGCGCACCGUCUACCGACAAACUACUACCGUGGGUAUACCCCAAGGUAGACUGCCGACUAGCUUUCGUCGACACUUAUGCUAACACUUAACCAGUUCCACAAAGCUUUGUUGUCUAUUUGAGCUCCAUAGAAUUCAAGGAUCAAAGAAGACUAGCAGACAGAGGACAUCCUAAUCACUGUCAGGGUGCUACCGACAUUCAAAUACACCUCCACCACCUGCUACAUCAAAAGGAAUUACGUCAAAAUCUAGCUUGGGGGAGAGCACCCCUAUUUAUCCAGCUAAGUGUUCUACUCACGUUUAUACUUUACUCAUAUAAUAAAAAGUUGCAUAAUCAUAUAAACCCAAGUAAAGAUUUUGUGCUUAUAUAUAUAUCUUUGCUUAGUUUGCUAAAUAAAUAAAUAAAGUUUGCUAUGAACCCUCAUGAUAAGCUCUCACAUGGAAUGAUGAAUAGUUGCUCUGCCAUGACUAGUUCUCAAAAUUGCAAUCUCUCUCAAGUUUAGGCAUGACUGUUAUUAAUUAAGAUUUGCUCUAAACUUGAACUUGUAGGAAGAGUACUUGAUCUAAAGUCUAAGUCGUUAACGGAUAUGAUAUGGGAAGAUUGAGCUGCUAUUUAUCUGUUCUUAGAGAUGCUAGAAUUCUGGAGAAUUUUAUCUUUGAAAAUCUUUAAAAUGUUGCAUGAUGAGUUCCUGUAUGAUGAGAGUUUAAAUUCCUACCACAGCCAUAUAUACAUGCUUGCUAAACUUUGAGCCACACAUUUACUUUUUACUGCUUAUGAGCAUUGAGUGUGGUCAAGCUGUGUAGACCCUUAGGAGCUUGUCAUGUGGUUAAGUCAAGAUUCACUUGCACGUUCACUCACACAUGCUGCUUCUACUCCGGAAGUACGCAUCCACAUAUAUCCACCCAUUUCCAUCUCCAGAAUCACCUAAAAAUAUUCUACUCCUAAUCCGGGAGAGAAUAGCCAAAAACAUUUCUGUUUUUCCAUAUGAAAUAAAUGCUCAAGUUAUCUUGGUUACUACCACUUGCUAUAUUAUUUCAGGAGAUGAGUGCUCUAAAAAAGAGAGAGAAAAAAAAGAAAGAAUACAAUGAAAUAAAAAGGGGCAAGUGCCUGGAACCUCGAAGAAAAGAAAAAGUGAGACGAGAGGUAAAAAUGGACAAGUGUCCGACAGUAGAAUUAGGUGUACAAGAUACCCACCUGGGAGAAAAGAAAAAGAAAAUAUAGAGCAUCUCAUUCUCCUUAAAAAGUUUCAAAAGAGCAAGAAAGGUAUGUAUCCCCUCAAAAGAGCACAAGUAGAAUUAGACUUUCACCAUUGUUAUCACCAUCAUUACCAUGCACCAUUCAUUAGCCACACAUGCACAUCUUGAUUUGACUUAUUGACUUGUUCUUUUGGAUCCAUGGUUUGACUAUGCAAUAAAUGUCUUGUAAGUAUGUAUUAGCUAUCUCCCACCUAUGAGCUCCAGAUAUCAAAACCCUUAUUAGAGUAGGGAGAGAGAGAAGGCAAUGUCACUCUGCCUCAUACCAAAAAUACCACAUACUUUGAGAGAAGGCAUACACCUUUACUACCUUGGUAAGGAUCCAAAAAUACCACAAAAGAGAGACUACAGAGAGUCAUACAAGGAAUCUCUGAGUUUUAUUUGAAAAUCUGCAAAAAAACUCCAGAGCUAUAGUUAAUCGAAGAACAAGAGACAUGGCGCUUGACUAGACCGUUCUAUCUUUUAACUGCUCAAGACACAGGUGACAGUUGUAAGCCCCA